RNAcentral lists this transfer RNA (83 nucleotides) under Oryctolagus cuniculus (rabbit). It matches the Rfam family "tRNA". Rfam says of the family: Transfer RNA (tRNA) molecules are approximately 80 nucleotides in length. Their secondary structure includes four short double-helical elements and three loops (D, anti-codon, and T loops). Further hydrogen bonds mediate the characteristic L-shaped molecular structure. tRNAs have two regions of fundamental functional importance: the anti-codon, which is responsible for specific mRNA codon recognition, and the 3' end, to which the tRNAs corresponding amino acid is attached (by aminoacyl-tRNA synthetases). tRNAs cope with the degeneracy of the genetic code in two manners: having more than one tRNA (with a specific anti-codon) for a particular amino acid; and 'wobble' base-pairing, i.e. permitting non-standard base-pairing at the 3rd anti-codon position. Lineage: Eukaryota; Metazoa; Chordata; Mammalia; Lagomorpha; Leporidae. The record is from Rfam by way of RNAcentral.
GGUGCUGUGGCACACAGGGUUAAUGCCCCAGCCUGCAGUGCUGGCAUCCCAUAUGGGCACAGGUUCGAGUCCUGGCUGCUCCA